UCAUACGUAGGACCCAAGCGUUAUCCGGAUUUACUGGGCGUAAAGAGUUGCGUAGGUGGCAGAGUAAGUGAAUAGUGAAAUCGUGCGGCUCAACCGUAUACCCAUUAUUUAAACUGCUCAGCUUGAAGAUGAGAGAGGUCACUGGAAUUCCAAGUGUAGGAGUGAAAUCCGUAGAUAUUUGGAGGAACACCGAUGGCGUAGGCAGGUGACUGGCUCAUUCUUGACACUAAGGCACGAAAGCGUGGGGAGCAAACGGG
Molecule: ribosomal RNA, 257 nt
Filed under: uncultured bacterium
Lineage: Bacteria
Description: partial 16S ribosomal RNA
Rfam family: Bacterial small subunit ribosomal RNA
Source: RNAcentral